GACGAACGCUGGCGGCGUGCUUAACACAUGCAAGUCGAACGGAAAGGCCCUGCUUUUGUGGGGUGCUCGAGUGGCGAACGGGUGAGUAACACGUGAGUAACCUGCCCUUGACUUUGGGAUAACUUCAGGAAACUGGGGCUAAUACCGGAUAGGAGCUCCUGCUGCAUGGUGGGGGUUGGAAAGUUUCGGCGGUUGGGGAUGGAUUCGGGGGUUAACAGCUUGUUGGUUGGGUAGUGGCUUACCAAGGCUUUGACGGGUAGCCGGCAUGAGUGGGUGGACGGGCACAAUGGGACUACGAGACGGCCCAGAGGCGUACAGGAGACAGCAGGGGGGAGUAUGGUACAGUGGGCGGAAGCGUGAGACAGAGGCGCCGGGAGCGGGAAGAAGGCUUUGGGGGGGGAAACCGCAGUAACCUAAGACGAAGCGGGAGUGACGUUAAUGGGAAAAGAAGCACCGGCUAACUACGUG
Molecule: ribosomal RNA, 468 nt
Filed under: uncultured bacterium
Lineage: Bacteria
Description: partial 16S ribosomal RNA
Rfam family: Bacterial small subunit ribosomal RNA
Source: RNAcentral